This 681-nucleotide ribosomal RNA is filed under the name Triticum aestivum (bread wheat). Its description in RNAcentral is "partial small subunit ribosomal RNA". Lineage: Eukaryota; Viridiplantae; Streptophyta; Magnoliopsida; Poales; Poaceae. The record is from RNAcentral.
AUGGCCUCCUCCACCGUGCGCCUUCCCCACCCCUGUGGCUUUCCACCACCGGCGACACUCGACGCCAAUGCCGCACCUUCCCCCAACCCUCCUCUCUCUCGCCACGACCUGACUCCGUCGUCCUCCACUACCAGCCCGACACCAUGGACUCCGUGCGCACGGGGCCCUACGAACAGAUCUUCUGCCCCGACAACUUUGUCUUCGGCCGGUCCAGCACCGGCAACAACUAGGCCAAGGGCCACUACACGGAGGGCGCCGAGCUCAUCGAUUCCGUCCUCGACGUCGUCCGCAAGGAGGCCGAGAACUGCGACUGCCUCCAAGCUUCCAGGUGUGCCACUCCCUCGGCGAGGGCACCGGUUCCGGCAUGGGCACGCUGCUGAUUUCAAGAUCAGGGAGGAGUACCCGGACCGGAUGAUGCUCACCUUCUCCGUGUUCCCAUCUCCGAAGGUCUCUGACAUAAAGGUCGAGCCCUACAACGCCACCCUCUCGGUUCAGCAGCUGGUGGAGAACUCCGACGAGUGCAUGGUGCUGGACAACGAGGUGCUCUACCACAUCUGCUUCCGCGCCCUCAAGCUGACCACACCUAGCUGUAAGCAGAUCUGUGACAUCAAGUUAUAUUACCUACCUACCUGUACUUUUUUUUUGACUGAAUACCUGCCUGUACUUUUGUUACUAAUGUGA